Molecule: long non-coding RNA, 802 nt
Organism: Arachis stenosperma
Lineage: Eukaryota; Viridiplantae; Streptophyta; Magnoliopsida; Fabales; Fabaceae
Exons: 5
Source: RefSeq, a predicted model, not a curated record
AUGAAUAAUAUUGCAUGCUGAAAAAUUGCAAGAAGCAGCAUGCUGGAUGCAUGGAACCAUUGGUCGGCAUUCUAGAUUUGCCUCUUAACAAUGAAGCCAACCAUUGUCCUCUUCUUUGAUUAUCAAGAUUCCUUCAAACUAGAAACUGCACAGGAUUAAUCAAAGAUGUAAAGUCCCUGAAUGUGAAGGCUGCCUUUCUUCUCUGUCUUUCUGAGCCAGCGUCUUUCACUCCACCGCCACCUCUCUUGCUUCUAUCGUCGCCUUCAGCGCUUGCUCUCGUGUAUGUUGUUUCUGCUGUGGUUUUCUUCCGCCGCUGCCUCGGUUCCAGCUUUUGUUUCAAUGAACAUGGAGACUGCCAAUGAUUCAGAGAUGAUUUUGGUUGGAGAUGGUCAUGUAAGAAGAAGGUCCGCAGAAAAAAAAGCCAUGGCUGAAAUGGAGCAAGAGAACAUAAAGAGCAAUUAGAAAAACUUAAAUAGAAGGAUGUUCGAUUCUCUAGGAAACCAAAAUUUAUAAUUGACUCAGAAGAAGUGGAGAGUGACAAGUCCGAUGGUGAACUUGACGUCAAUGUUGGACAAAGUGUUGGUUAUGAUACUAUUUGUGCAAUUUGUGACAAUGGUGGUGAAAUACUUUCAUAUGUCUUCUCAAUACAAGUUCAUGGUUAUAAGGACUUGCAUUAUUUUGCUCUCCAUCCUUUAUGUAUUAUUAAGAAAUUGGCCAUUUUCACAUUUGUUUUACUGAACUAGUUACUUUUGUUUCAAUAAUUCAGCUGUGAAGGAAGAUGCUUAAGAUCCUUCCAGCCAAA